Molecule: ribosomal RNA, 443 nt
Filed under: Lacihabitans soyangensis
Lineage: Bacteria; Pseudomonadati; Bacteroidota; Cytophagia; Cytophagales; Leadbetterellaceae
Description: bacterial SSU rRNA
Rfam family: Bacterial small subunit ribosomal RNA
Source: RNAcentral
CCUACGGGAGGCAGCAGUAGGGAAUAUUGGGCAAUGGAGGCAACUCUGACCCAGCCAUGCCGCGUGCAGGAAGACGGUCCUCUGGAUUGUAAACUGCUUUUGAAUGGGAAGAAUGUGCUCCUUGCGAGGGGUAAUGACGGUACCAUUAGAAUAAGCCACGGCUAACUACGUGCCAGCAGCCGCGGUAAUACGUAGGUGGCGAGCGUUAUCCGGAUUUAUUGGGUUUAAAGGGUGCGUAGGCGGCUUAAUAAGUCGGUGGUUAAAAGUAGCAGCUUAACUGUUUUACAUGCCAUCGAUACUGUUGAGCUUGAGAUAUUUGGAGGCAGCUAGAAUUUCCGGUGUAGCGGUGAAAUGCAUAGAUACCGGAAGGAAUACCAAUUGCGAAGGCAGGUUGCUACGAAUAAACUGACGCUGAUGCACGAAAGCGUGGGGAUCAAACAGGA